UACGUAGGGGGCUAGCGUUGUCCGGAAUUACUGGGCGUAAAGCGUGCGCAGGCGGUUCGUUAUGUCCGAUGUGAAAGCCCCGAGCUUAACUUGGGAAUGGCAUUGGAAACUGGCGGGCUGGAGUGCGGCAGAGGGGGGUGGAAUUCCACGUGUAGCAGUGAAAUGCGUAGAGAUGUGGAGGAACACCGAUGGCGAAGGCAGCCCCCUGGGCCGACACUGACGCUCAGGCACGAAAGCGUGGGGAGCAAACAGG
This 253-nucleotide ribosomal RNA is filed under the name uncultured bacterium. RNAcentral describes it as "partial 16S ribosomal RNA". It matches the Rfam family "Bacterial small subunit ribosomal RNA", at positions 524 to 776 of the family's 1533-position model. The record is from RNAcentral.